Molecule: ribosomal RNA, 377 nt
Filed under: uncultured eukaryote
Lineage: Eukaryota
Description: partial 18S ribosomal RNA
Rfam family: Eukaryotic small subunit ribosomal RNA
Source: RNAcentral
CAAUAGCGUAUAUUAAAGUUGCUGCAGUUAAAAAGCUCGUAGUUGGAUUUCGGGGCAGCCUGGCUGGUCCGCCGCAAGGCGAGUACUGGUCAGCCGCCCUUCCUCUCGAAAGCCCCGACUGCUCUUCGUUGCAGUGGUCGGGUAGUUCGGGACGUUUACUUUGAAAAAAUUAGAGUGUUCAAGGCAGGCCUACGCCUGAAUACAUUAGCAUGGAAUAAUGGAAGAGGACCUCGGUCCUAUUUUGUUGGUUUCCAGGGCCGAAGUAAUGAUUAAGAGGGACAGUUGGGGGCAUUCGUAUUUAAUUGUCAGAGGUGAAAUUCUCGGAUUUAUGAAAGACGAACAACUGCGAAAGCAUUUGCCAAGGAUGUUUUCAUUAA